AUACGUAGGUGACAAGCGUUAUCCGGAUUUACUGGGCGUAAAGGGCGUGUAGGCGGUCUUGCAAGUCAGAAGUGAAAUUCCUGAGCUCAACUCGGGCGCUGCUUCUGAAACUGCAGGACUUGAGUGCUGGAGGGGAUAGCGGAAUUCCUAGUGGAGCGGUAAAAUGCGCAGAUAUUAGGAAGAACACCGGUGGCGAAGGCGGCUAUCUGGACAGUAACUGACGCUGAGGCGCGAAAGCGUGGGGAGCAAACAGGAUUAGAUACCCUGGUAGUCCACGCCGUAAACGAUGGAUACUAGGUGUAGGGGGUAUCGACUCCCUCUGUGCCGCAGUUAACACAAUAAGUAUUCCGCCUGGGGAGUACGGCCGCAAGGUUGAAACUCAAAUGAAUUGACGGGG
This 397-nucleotide ribosomal RNA is filed under the name uncultured bacterium. Its description in RNAcentral is "partial 16S ribosomal RNA". It matches the Rfam family "Bacterial small subunit ribosomal RNA", at positions 523 to 918 of the family's 1533-position model. The record is from RNAcentral.